Molecule: ribosomal RNA, 407 nt
Filed under: uncultured bacterium
Lineage: Bacteria
Description: partial 16S ribosomal RNA
Rfam family: Bacterial small subunit ribosomal RNA
Source: RNAcentral
AUUGAACGCUGGCGGCAGGCCUAACACAUGCAAGUCGAGCGGAGCGGCGGACGGGUGAGUAAUGCCUAGGAAUCUGCCUGGUAGUGGGGGAUAACGUCAGGAAACGGGCGCUAAUACCGCAUACUCUCAGAUGAGCAUAGGCCGGAUUAGCUAGGUGGUGGGGUAGAGGCCUACCAAGGCGACGAGCCGUAACUGGUCUGAGAGGAUGAUCAGUCACACUGGAACGGAGACACGGUCCAGACUCCUCCGGGAGGCAGCAGUGGGGAAUAUUGGACAAUGGGCGAAAGCCUGAUCCAGCCAUGCCGCGUGUGUGAAGAAGGUCUUCGGAUUGUAAAGCACUUUAAGUUGGGAGGCGUUACCAACAGAAUAAGCACCGGCUAACUCCGUGCCAGCCGCCGCGGUAAUUC